Mesocricetus auratus (golden hamster) is the source of this 1125-nucleotide long non-coding RNA. RefSeq lists it as uncharacterized. Lineage: Eukaryota; Metazoa; Chordata; Mammalia; Rodentia; Cricetidae. The transcript has 2 exons. The record is from RefSeq and is a predicted model, not a curated record.
CCUCCAGGCCCCCACCUCCCACCCCCACCCCUGGGCGUCUGCGCGGCAGCACAGGCCUUACUCCACCAGCUGCCUCCCGACAGAACCGAGUCAUGUGGGGUCAAGCACAGGAAGCCCGACUACAGUCACAAGCAAGAUGAAAAACUGGUAUGCGCCGAAGUCCAUGUGGAGACUUAACUCUGUUUUCCUUCCUCCCUUAUAUGCCAAAGUGGAGGAACUCUCCGCCCCUCCCUGGAGUCACCUGCUCAGGGAGGACUCUCACGGUGAAGCAGUAGCAGGCCCCUGUGCUCUUCCUGUGCGCAUCUCCCCGCCCCCGGGGUCCUCUGGUUCCUUCCUUCCCUGUGGAGGAAGCAGUCAGUGCAUCUGCACCGGGGCCGGGCAUGGAAAAUCAGGGGCAAGGCGAGGGGCAGCUGUGGGCAGCUCCGGGUUCAGCCUCAGGCUGUGGGAAGCAGACCUGCAAAAGCUGCGUGCUCCCUUCUUGCCAAGAGGAAAAGAGCCUGUCUGUUCUUUGAUGUCCCCUUUUGAGGAUCAAAGAGAAUCAGGCUCUCCCACAUGGAGGACCUCUGUAAGGCCAAUGCACCUGGAGACUCCAGUGACCCUGGCCCCUUCUUGGCUCCUGCCUCUUGUCCUGCCACCUCUGAGGACAGGCUAGUGUGCUACCGAAUGUCGUCUUGGUCUCUGCUUCUGUCUCAAAGCUUCUUGGCUUUUCUCCAGGACCAGCUACUCGUUCAUCAGAGACUGAUGGAUGCUGGGUUACUCUUCAGUUGCCGGUAGGAUGCUAUUUGAGAGAACCACAUCUGAAGACGCUGGCGCUGGUAAAGCAUCUUUUUAGUUGGAUAAUGCAAGACAGCACGUCUGAGGAGGUGGAAGGCAUGCGGUGGCGGUUCAGAAGGAAGACAAAGAGGAAACAGACCACUGGCUCUCGUGGGAACCGGGGUGGUAUGUGGCAUCCCUCACAUGGAGACAAAGCUCCCAGCAAAUGGCCACAGAUGCCAAACCGAGGACCGCGAUAGACAUUAUGGAACGACAUCCCUCCUUUGUCCAACAAUUAAGAGGAAAAUUUUAGCAUUCUCUUCUGCUGCUUUUCAGCUGAGAGCAUUAAAAGAUGUGUGUAGUUUCUCCUUA